GUGCAACUCCUUCCCCUGCUA
RNAcentral lists this transfer RNA (21 nucleotides) under Bubalornis albirostris. RNAcentral describes it as "partial tRNA-Met". The record is from RNAcentral. Lineage: Eukaryota; Metazoa; Chordata; Aves; Passeriformes; Ploceidae. RNAcentral also lists the same sequence under 1 other name.